GGCUCUGUGGCGCAAUGGGUAGCGUGUUGGACUUCUAAUUCAAAGGUUGUGAGUUUGAGUCCCACCAGAGUCG
This is a non-coding RNA of Hippocampus zosterae (dwarf seahorse), 73 nucleotides long. NCBI's taxonomy places the organism in Eukaryota, Metazoa, Chordata, Actinopteri, Syngnathiformes, Syngnathidae. The record is from the annotation of a RefSeq genome assembly.